RNAcentral lists this ribosomal RNA (2549 nucleotides) under Salmonella enterica subsp. enterica serovar Typhimurium. RNAcentral describes it as "partial 23S ribosomal RNA". It matches the Rfam family "Bacterial large subunit ribosomal RNA". Lineage: Bacteria; Pseudomonadati; Pseudomonadota; Gammaproteobacteria; Enterobacterales; Enterobacteriaceae. The record is from RNAcentral.
CACUAAGCCAGUGGUGAACUCCACAUCCGCAUCCUUUGCUGAGGAUACGGUUAACGGAGCGAAAGCGACGUUCAACCGCAAAACAAGCAGAGGGGGCUUAGUGGUGGGGUGACUGCGUACCUUUUGUAUAAUGGGUCAGCGACUUAUAUUCUGUAGCAAGGUUAACCGAAUAGGGGAGCCGGAGGGAAACCGAGUCUUAAUUGGGCGUUAAGUUGCAGGGUAUAGACCCGAAACCCGGUGAUCUAGCCAUGGGCAGGUUGAAGGUUGGGUAACACUAACUGGAGGACCGAACCGACUAAUGUUGAAAAAUUAGCGGAUGACCUGUGGCUGGGGGUGAAAGGCCAAUCAAACCGGGAGAUAGCUGGUUCUCCCCGAAAGCUAUUUAGGUAGCGCCUCGUGAAUUCAUCUCCGGGGGUAGAGCACUGUUUCGGCUAGGGGGCCAUCCCGGCUUACCAACCCGAUGCAAACUGCGAAUACCGGAGAAUGUUAUCACGGGAGACACACGGCGGGUGCUAACGUCCGUCGUGAAGAGGGAAACAACCCAGACCGCCAGCUAAGGUCCCAAAGUCAUGGUUAAGUGGGAAACGAUGUGGGAAGGCCCAGACAGCCAGGAUGUUGGCUUAGAAGCAGCCAUCAUUUAAAGAAAGCGUAAUAGCUCACUGGUCGAGUCGGCCUGCGCGGAAGAUGUAACGGGGCUAAACCAUGCACCGAAGCUGCGGCAGCGAACGUAUCACCCAAGACAACUUUACGGAGUUGACGAUUGACGGAGCGAAGCGACGUCAAAGCGUUCAUUAAAGUCGAGUUGGCUUAGGGAUACGUUCGUUGGGUAGGGGAGCGUUCUGUAAGCCUGUGAAGGUGUGUCGUGAGGCAUGCUGGAGGUAUCAGAAGUGCGAAUGCUGACAUAAGUAACGAUAAAGCGGGUGAAAAGCCCGCUCGCCGGAAGACCAAGGGUUCCUGUCCAACGUUAAUCGGGGCAGGGUGAGUCGACCCCUAAGGCGAGGCCGAAAGGCGUAGUCGAUGGGAAACGGGUUAAUAUUCCCGUACUUGGUGUUACUGCGAAGGGGGGACGGAGAAGGCUAUGUUGGCCGGGCGACGGUUGUCCCGGUUUAAGCGUGUAGGUGUGUGUUCCAGGUAAAUCCGGUUCACUUUAACACUGAGGCGUGACGACGAGGCACUACGGUGCUGAAGCAACAAAUGCCCUGCUUCCAGGAAAAGCCUCUAAGCAUCAGGUAACAUCAAAUCGUACCCCAAACCGACACAGGUGGUCAGGUAGAGAAUACCAAGGCGCUUGAGAGAACUCGGGUGAAGGAACUAGGCAAAAUGGUGCCGUAACUUCGGGAGAAGGCACGCUGACACGUAGGUGAAGUGAUUUACUCAUGGAGCUGAAGUCAGUCGAAGAUACCAGCUGGCUGCAACUGUUUAUUAAAAACACAGCACUGUGCAAACACGAAAGUGGACGUAUACGGUGUGACGCCUGCCCGGUGCCGGAAGGUUAAUUGAUGGGGUCAGCGCAAGCGAAGCUCCUGAUCGAAGCCCCGGUAAACGGCGGCCGUAACUAUAACGGUCCUAAGGUAGCGAAAUUCCUUGUCGGGUAAGUUCCGACCUGCACGAAUGGCGUAAUGAUGGCCAGGCUGUCUCCACCCGAGACUCAGUGAAAUUGAACUCGCUGUGAAGAUGCAGUGUACCCGCGGCAAGACGGAAAGACCCCGUGAACCUUUACUAUAGCUUGACACUGAACAUUGAGCCUUGAUGUGUAGGAUAGGUGGGAGGCUUUGAAGUGUGGACGCCAGUCUGCAUGGAGCCGACCUUGAAAUACCACCCUUUAAUGUUUGAUGUUCUAACGUGGACCCGUAAUCCGGGUUGCGGACAGUGUCUGGUGGGUAGUUUGACUGGGGCGGUCUCCUCCUAAAGAGUAACGGAGGAGCACGAAGGUUGGCUAAUCCUGGUCGGACAUCAGGAGGUUAGUGCAAUGGCAUAAGCCAGCUUGACUGCGAGCGUGACGGCGCGAGCAGGUGCGAAAGCAGGUCAUAGUGAUCCGGUGGUUCUGAAUGGAAGGGCCAUCGCUCAACGGAUAAAAGGUACUCCGGGGAUAACAGGCUGAUACCGCCCAAGAGUUCAUAUCGACGGCGGUGUUUGGCACCUCGAUGUCGGCUCAUCACAUCCUGGGGCUGAAGUAGGUCCCAAGGGUAUGGCUGUUCGCCAUUUAAAGUGGUACGCGAGCUGGGUUUAGAACGUCGUGAGACAGUUCGGUCCCUAUCUGCCGUGGGCGCUGGAGAACUGAGGGGGGCUGCUCCUAGUACGAGAGGACCGGAGUGGACGCAUCACUGGUGUUCGGGUUGUCAUGCCAAUGGCACUGCCCGGUAGCUAAAUGCGGAAGAGAUAAGUGCUGAAAGCAUCUAAGCACGAAACUUGCCCCGAGAUGAGUUCUCCCUGAGACUUAGAGUCUCCUGAAGGAACGUUGAAGACGACGACGUUGAUAGGCCGGGUGUGUAAGCGCAGCGAUGCGUUGAGCUAACCGGUACUAAUGAACCGUGAGGCUUAACCUUACA